GAGACACCCCUGUGGAGCAGAACUUGCUUCAUUGGGGCUUUGGUGCUCACUGAGUCUGCCCCUUGAGUGUGUCCCU
RNAcentral lists this microRNA precursor (76 nucleotides) under Myotis davidii. Its description in RNAcentral is "mir-9229 microRNA precursor family". It matches the Rfam family "mir-9229 microRNA precursor family". The record is from Rfam by way of RNAcentral. Lineage: Eukaryota; Metazoa; Chordata; Mammalia; Chiroptera; Vespertilionidae.